Long non-coding RNA from Gallus gallus (chicken), 1491 nucleotides. The record is from Ensembl. NCBI's taxonomy places the organism in Eukaryota, Metazoa, Chordata, Aves, Galliformes, Phasianidae.
CUGCACGGCUCCGGUGGGCGGGGGGGACCCACGAGCAGGCAGGGGAUCCCGGCUGUGUGCAGCCGUAGGGAUGGAGGGAAAUACGCAGCGCCCGCACUUCGGGAAGGGGAGAUUUCGUUCCGUCGGUGGGGGAUGGAGAGAGCACCGGGUCCGGGCUGCCCUGAGAUCGGUCACUGAGAAGAGGAGGAUGUGGAGAUGGGGAGUGGAGGGGGACGUAGUGCCGAGAGUGGGGGGAGAGUGCAAGCGGGGAAGGAGAAAGGUGGGGGAAAAAAGGACGACGUGCAGAAACAAGGCAGAAAAUAAAGAGCGGGGGACAGAGAGAGAAAAAAAAAGGAAGAAAAAUACAGAAAAGAGUGAAAGACAGACAGAGAAAAAAAAUGAAGAAAAGGGAGACAGCGAGAAAAAGAAAGAAAGAAAAGAGGAAAAUAAACGAGAAAGGAGGGAAAGAAAGAUGGAAAGAAAUAUAUAGAGAAAAGAAAAAAUGAGAAAAUGAAGGAAAGAAAGAAUGAAUGAAUGGUGAAAGACAGAAAAUGAAAGAAAGAAGAAAGGAAGGAAAGGGCAAAACAGAAGAAGGCAAAACAAAGAGAAAAAGAAAAAAAAAGAAAAAGAAAAAAAGAAAAAAAAGAGAAAAGAGAAAAACGAAAGAAGGAAAGGAAAGGAAAUGGGAAAAGGAGGAGAGAAAGAAAAAGGAGAAGAGAAAGAAAAAGGAUAAAAAACGAAAGGAGAAAAAAAGAAAAAGAAAAAGAGAAAGAAAAGAAAAAAGAAAAAGGAAAAAAAGAAGAAAAAGAGAAAGGGAAAGAAAAAGAAAAAGAAAAGGGGAAAAAGAAGAAAAAGAAAAAUAGAAAGAAAAAGAAAAAUAAGAAGGAAAGGAAAAGAAAAAGGACAAAAAUGAGAAGAAAAAGAAAGGAAAAAGGGAACGAAAUAAGGAAAUAGAAAUCAGAGUGUGAAAGAAAUAGUGAACAUUAGAAAGCAUAAGAGUGCAUAAACAAACGAAAUAAAGGAGAGAAUGCUAACAAGUAAAACAGAAAUGAAGAGAAUGGGAAAGCGAGAAAUAGUGAAAGAAAGACAAAGAAAAACGGGGAAGUAGAAAGCGAAAAAAAAGAGGGAAAAAUAAAUAAGAAAAAUAGAGAGAAUGAGAAAAAGUGAGAGUGAAGGGGAGGAAAUAAAGAAAUAAAGAAAAAAGAAGUAGAAAUGAAAAAAAGAAUAAAGAAAGAGGAAGGGGGAAGGGAGAGAAGGAGAAAAGAAAGGUGGAAGGAGAAAGGAGAAGAGAGGGAAAAGAGAAAGAAGGAAAGAAGGAAAGAAGGAAAGAAAAAGAAAAAAGAGAGGAAGAAAGAAAGAGAAAAGGCAAAUGAACGCCCCGCAAAGCCAAUCUCAGGGCGCAGUCAGGGCGGUCACCCAGGCACGCAGCGCUGUCGGGUCAGAGCGGCGCGGCCCCAUCCCGUCCCAUCGGGAGGUGCCGCUCACCGCAUCCCUCCGCACCGCCAACCGGGG